RNAcentral lists this ribosomal RNA (480 nucleotides) under uncultured bacterium. RNAcentral's name for it is "bacterial SSU rRNA". It matches the Rfam family "Bacterial small subunit ribosomal RNA", at positions 15 to 518 of the family's 1533-position model. The record is from RNAcentral.
GAUUAUGGCUCAGGAUUAACGCUGGCGGCGUGCCUAAUACAUGCAAGUCGGAUGGUUAGCUUGCUAACCAUGGCGAACGGGUGAGUAACACGUAGGUAACCUGUCUAAGACACGAGGAUAACCAUUGGAAACGAUGGAUAAUACUGGAUAGGACAUUUGGAGGCAUCUUUGGAUGUUUAAAGAUUUAUCGGUAAUAGAGGGGCCUGCGGCGCAUUAGCUAGUUGGCGGGGUGAAGGCCCACCAAGGCGAUGAUGCGUAGCCGGACUGAGAGGUUGAACGGCCACAAUGGGACUGAGAACGGCCCAUACUCCUACGGGAGGCAGCAGUAGGGAAUUUUCGGCAAUGGGCGGAAGCCUGACCGAGCAACGCCGCGUGAACGAAGAAGUAUUUCGGUAUGUAAAGUUCUUUUAUUUGGGACGAAAAAUUAAAAUUGACUGUACCAAAUGAAUAAGCUCCGGCUAACUACGUGCCAGCAGCGGC